CCCUUAGAUGUUCUGGGCUGCACGCGUGCUACACUGAUAUUGCCAAUAUGUCAUUCUUAUCCGAAAUGGAUUGGGUAAUCAAGUAAUGAAAUUUCAUGCUUGGAAUCGGUAAUUGCAAUUUUAUCGUGAACGAGGAAUUCCUAGUAGACGUAGUUCAUCAGACUGCAUCGAUUACGUCCCUGCCCUUUGUACACACCGCCCGUCGCUCCUACCGAUUGGAUGAUCCGGUGAGCUAUUCGGACUUUCGCAUUGUCGAUUUUCGGCUUUACGAGGGAAAGUCUCGCGAACCUUAUCAUCUAGAGGAAGGAGAAGUCGUAACA
RNAcentral lists this ribosomal RNA (320 nucleotides) under uncultured eukaryote. RNAcentral's name for it is "partial 18S ribosomal RNA". It matches the Rfam family "Eukaryotic small subunit ribosomal RNA", at positions 1470 to 1796 of the family's 1831-position model. The record is from RNAcentral.